Molecule: long non-coding RNA, 2090 nt
Organism: Python bivittatus (Burmese python)
Lineage: Eukaryota; Metazoa; Chordata; Lepidosauria; Squamata; Pythonidae
Source: RefSeq, a predicted model, not a curated record
UUCAGGCAUGUUGCGCGAUGGAAUGAGGAGAAAUAGCAAGCCUGGGGCGUCACGUUCUCAUUCCCUGCACAAACAGCGAAAGACAGCAGGCUCCCGGUCUGCUUUCAUCAAGCUCCGCCUGUAGCCCCGUAAAAAUCGGCGAGAGACGGAGGGGAGCGUUUGGUGCGCUCUUCCUUCUUCGGCUUUCUGCUCAUAUUAUCCCCUUCGGCACCGGUCUCCUUGAGCCACGAAGGACAAAGGCUAGCAACUAUUGACGGCAGCCCGGGGAGCUGCACUUUUCAUCCUAUUUUAUUUGGGUUUCGCGCGGCGCUUUAUGUGUGCUUCCGGCACCGCUUUUCACCGCCGGCGGUAGGGUCGCGCUGAAACAUCUGAGAGUCUGCUUGUGGACGCGAUACAUGCAGUUGGCCAACUUGAUAGGCAUUCCAGCCCUAGUCAGUUGGAUAUACAAUUUCAGGGCUUCCCAUCAGCCUUCAGAUCAUGACAAAGUGAUGGAAAGAAGCACUGCUAUUCCAGAUAGGCUUGAAGCUGGAGCAAUUUCAUGACACACCGGCAAAACCAAUAAUUUACUAUGAUAUUCUGGAAUAAUACAGCCAGCUUCAGAAUUCCUUAACAGUUCCAGUUCCAGUUGAGUUGUCUGUUUAGAGUAUGAAUGGCUUAAAGGCAGGAAAGUUAGAAAUGUUUUCUGGUCAGGCACCAGCUCCCAUUAAAAACUGCUGAGAAAAUUAAAUUGAAAUGAAAUCACUUAUUAAAAGAUAUACAGCAUUGUAGGUGUCUGCAGAGAUUACAGUUUGUACUGAUACCACUUGCUUAUAAACAUCCAGAUGCUGCAGAUUCUUGGGAUGGAACAAAUUCUAUUCAGAUACCUCAGUGCACAGUCUCUGUUUGGAGGUGCUUUGAAUAUGUGAUGUUUGCAUUCAGCAUGUAUGGUAUGGUAUGGUAUAGUAUAUAGCAUAGCAUUCUUGGUAUUUUUCUUGCAUGGAAAAUAGACACUGUUAAAAAGGGUGACAUGCAUGUAGAGUUUAAAAAAGACAACCACCCAACUUUGACAGAGGCCUAACCAAAUAUAUCUUCUGGUGAUAUCACCCAGUUGUAUUUCUCUACAGUUCAGUAGAAUGUUAAUUUCCUAUGUCAAAAUGAAAGCUAAUUACUUUACCAGUGCCAGAAAGCAAUUGCUUCAGAAAAUAUGAGGAUGGAAGAUACUGAUCAAUGUAUGUGAAAUACAUUCCCUCUGACAUUAAUACAAUAUGCCAUUUCUUCUCCUGGCCAUGUGAAUGUGCACGUUUCGAGGAUUGGCCUGGCAGUUUUCCAAAGAUUAAUAUUCUAAACUUAAAGUUUGGGUGUGCCUCAGAAUAGUGUUUAAUAAACCAUUGGAAUUAAUAUAGACAUCAUUCUGAACCAAGCUAGCCUUAGGGCAAAGAAUACUGAAGAUGUAAGAAUUUUUUCAGAAAUAAUCUUAGGAUAGUUACAGGCAUUGUGAUAAUAGUCACCAUAUUAGAUUGGUUGACUUUUGGUGUUGAAGUUAUCAGUAGAAUGAAAUGGGAGAGUUCCAACCCUGGGCUUGGGUCUGGGCCAGUGCAGUUUGAGAACCAUGGUUCUCAAUAAAAGUUUACACUGAAUAGAAAAGGGCAUUUUUUCAACCCUUAUACUAUAGGCUGUGUUUAAUGGGCAGCGGGAGAGAGUGUUUACAGAUUGUGUAGGUUUGUUUUGGGUUUAGGAGCAGUAGUCUUGAAUUAACGUUAAAUUGAACAAUCUGAGGGAGUAAACCUCUAUAAGCAAGUAUCCAUUCUCCUUUAUCCAUUCUUCUGUAAAUGUUCAACAGUUUGUGACUAUUACAUUUACAAUUCUCCCUGAUAAUGAAUGGUGUGAGCACACAUAUUGCUGAAUUUGUACGAGAGUAAAUCUGGUUUCCUGUAAAAGCCUCUCUCUUCUCAAACCUACAUAAAUUAUUCUGAUAUACAGUAGAUAUAAAGCCCCCAGUACACUUAUUCAAUAUUUAUCUUUGCAAAAACUAUCAAAAUCAAGCUAUGUCACAGAAUAAUGUACAGGUAGUCCUCACUUAACAACCAUUCAUUUAAUGACAGUUCAAAGUU